UUGCACUUGUAUUAGCUGUGUCCUGCUUUCUUUUAUGAUGAUGGUGGGAAGUUAAGCUGGUGCACAGAGGAAAUGCUGCUCUUGUAGUAGUGGCGGCCAGACAACCGUUGAGGGAUAGAUCCACAGAUGAACAUUCUUUCUGCCGUUUGUCUACUAAUUCUAUCUCACAUUC
Molecule: small nucleolar RNA, 172 nt
Filed under: Dichanthelium oligosanthes
Lineage: Eukaryota; Viridiplantae; Streptophyta; Magnoliopsida; Poales; Poaceae
Description: small nucleolar RNA snoR143
Rfam family: small nucleolar RNA snoR143
Source: Rfam by way of RNAcentral